GACGAACGCUGGCGGCGUGCUUAACACAUGCAAGUCGAACGGUGAAGCUCCAAGCUUGCUUGGGGUGGAUCAGUGGCGAACGGGUGAGUAACACGUGAGUAACUUGCCCCGGACUCUGGAAUAAGCGCUGGAAACGGCGUCUAAUACUGGAUAUGACAUCAAGCCGCAUGGUUAUGGUGUGGAAAGUUUUUCGGUCCGGGAUGGGCUCGCGGCCUAUCAGCUUGUUGGUGAGGUAAUGGCUCACCAAGGCGACGACGGGUAGCCGGCCUGAGAGGGCGACCGGCCACACUGGGACUGAGACACGGCCCAGACUCCGACGGGAGGCAGCAGUGGGGAAUAUUGCACAAUGGGCGAAAGCCUGAUGCAGCGACGCCGCGUGAGGGAUGACGGCCUUCGGGUUGUAAACCUCUUUCAGCAGGGAAGAAGCGAAAGUGACGGUACCUGCAGAAGAAGCACCGGCUAACUACGUGCCAGCCGCCGCAGUAA
This 486-nucleotide ribosomal RNA is filed under the name uncultured bacterium. RNAcentral's name for it is "partial 16S ribosomal RNA". It matches the Rfam family "Bacterial small subunit ribosomal RNA", at positions 28 to 523 of the family's 1533-position model. The record is from RNAcentral.